RNAcentral lists this ribosomal RNA (232 nucleotides) under Acanthamoeba culbertsoni. RNAcentral describes it as "partial 18S ribosomal RNA". It matches the Rfam family "Eukaryotic small subunit ribosomal RNA", at positions 954 to 1095 of the family's 1831-position model. Lineage: Eukaryota; Discosea; Longamoebia; Acanthamoebidae. The record is from RNAcentral.
UCUGCCAAGGAUGUUUUCAUUAAUCAAGAACGAAAGUUAGGGGAUCGAAGACGAUCAGAUACCGUCCGUAGUCUUAACCAUAAACGAUGCCGACCAGCGAUUAGGAGACGUUGAAUACAAAACACCAUUCAUUUAGCAUGGUCGUUUUCAAAUUAUUCCUUUUUGCGAAGGUUGUUUGGGAACGAUUCGUCCUGAUGAAUCUGGUGAAUGACUCCCCUAGCAGCUUGUGAGA